This 72-nucleotide transfer RNA is filed under the name Camelus bactrianus (Bactrian camel). It matches the Rfam family "tRNA". From Rfam's summary of the family: Transfer RNA (tRNA) molecules are approximately 80 nucleotides in length. Their secondary structure includes four short double-helical elements and three loops (D, anti-codon, and T loops). Lineage: Eukaryota; Metazoa; Chordata; Mammalia; Artiodactyla; Camelidae. RNAcentral also lists the same sequence under 3 other names. The record is from Rfam by way of RNAcentral.
GAGGGUGUAGUUCAGUGGUAGAGUGUGUGCUUAGCAUGCACGAGAUCCUGGGUUCAUUCCCCAGUACCUCCG